Schizosaccharomyces pombe (fission yeast) is the source of this 1424-nucleotide non-coding RNA. Lineage: Eukaryota; Fungi; Ascomycota; Schizosaccharomycetes; Schizosaccharomycetales; Schizosaccharomycetaceae. The record is from the annotation of a GenBank genome assembly.
UCAAGGUACUAAUUUUGAAGCCCAUCUUUCCAAUACUUCGAAUGCUUUCUGCAGAAAAGACUUUCAGUGGUUAACAUGAGAGAAAUAGGUUAAGUUAAAUCGUCAAAACAGUUUUAAAAUAAAAGGGUUCGUUUUUUAUUUGUAAAAUAGAAAAAACAAAUCUGUAAUUUAAUAAGUCGAUUUUCCAUAAACUGAAUUUAGUUAUGAAGUUCACAUCAUAUCUUAGACUCAUGAAAUAGAGAGAAACAUCAAGGAAACCAGCAAAUUCUGGCUUAUUACUAGAAAGCCAUGAUACGUUAAUCUAUCAGGGAGUUAAAUCAUUUAACCACGAUUUACCAUAGUAUUUCCACUACCGCGAGGAUUGGCUUCUUUAAACUCAUCCCAGUAACGAUCUUUCAUUGUUUUUGCAUCCAAUUUUUCAUAAUCAUCUUCAUCAUCGGAGUCUGACUUAGGGGGGUUAUCUUUUUGGCUUAUUAUGUUACCACGUUUCAUCUCCUCAUCUAAAUACUCAUCAACUGUCAUGGUGGGUAGAUUAUAGCCAAAUCCAAAAACAUUUUUUCGAGUCUCAUUUCGAUCCGAUACAAUGGUAAAUGGUUGAAGGGGCCGAUUAUUUUUGUCCAGAAUCUUGUCCCUGGUAUUUAAGUCCAAACGCCAAGAAGAUCCUUCUUUUUGCUUUCGUUCCUCUCUCCUAAGAGUCUCCUCAUCUUUCUCUGGACUGUCUUCUGAUUUCAUUAAUUCUGCUUGUGCUCGCUUUAGUAAAUCAAUUUCCAUUUCUAUAUGAGGAAGGGAGUCCAAUGUAUCUUCAACAGCAAUUUGUAAUUUAGUGAGCCAAAAUUUCCUCUCCUGCUCUUCAUUGGUUUCCGAGUCCUUAGACAAAGCCUUUAACUCCUUCUCAAGGUUUUGACGCAUUCUGUAUCUGGCGAUUUUUAGAGUCCUUGUAUCAGCCUCAGUUUUUGGUUUUUCAUCUUGCAUUGGUUUUAGUCCGUAAUCAUCACAAAUGCUAAGAAAUGUUUCAUAAUGAGUUUUUGCAUACUGGACGGCUUUUAGUCGAUCUCCUUUGGUCCAUUGUUCCACACAUUUGGCAAGUUCAUAAUCAAUCAUUAAAUAUCGUAAUUCGCUGGUUUUUAUUUCAUCUACUUCUUCGUUUGAAGAAAAAAUUCGUAACUGGAGAACAAGUUUCAAACAUUUUUCGUAGCCUUCCACAAUUUCAGAUCUUGUUUUUUCAUCUGUGCUUGAUGAAUCCUUCAGUUUCUCAGUUUCUUCCCAUAACUCUCUCAACGACUUCGAUUCCAUGUCCUUUAAUCCUCAAAACGUUUGAAGUAAAUAAAAAUAUUCGUAUGUAAAGCUAUAUUCUCAAAUCCGAAGAAUUCCUCAAAAAGUAGUGUGUUCUGGUACCAUGGAAAUAAUAUGCGGUUGUUAAUAAC